Molecule: ribosomal RNA, 501 nt
Filed under: uncultured Glomeromycotina
Lineage: Eukaryota; Fungi; Glomeromycota
Description: partial small subunit ribosomal RNA
Rfam family: Eukaryotic small subunit ribosomal RNA
Source: RNAcentral
CCAAUAGCGUAUAUUAAAGUUGUUGCAGUUAAAAAGCUCGUAGUUGAACCUUAGGCCCGUGCGGGUGGUCCGUCCUCAGGGCGAGCACUGCCUCGUUGCGGGUCUCACCUUCUGGCGAGCGUAGAUGCCAUUUAUUUGGUGUCUGCGGGAACCAGGACCUUUACCUUGAAAAAAUUAGAGUGCUCAAAGCGGGCUCCGACGCUUGAAUACAUUAGCAUGGAAUAAUGAAAUAGGGCGAUGGUUCUAUUUUGUUGGUUUCUGGGACCGUCGUAAUGAUUAAUAGGGAUAGUUGGGGGCAUUCGUAUCCAUUUGUCAGAGGUGAAAUUCUUGGGUUUAUUGAAGACGGACUACUGCGAAAGCAUUUGCCAAGGAUGUUUUCAUUAAUCAAGAACGAAAGUUGGGGGAUCGAAGACGAUCAGAUACCGUCGUAGUCUCAACCAUAAACUAUGCCGACUGGGAAUCGGGCGAUGUUAUUUUUUGUGACUCGCUCGGCGCCCCGAG